Molecule: ribosomal RNA, 408 nt
Filed under: Dipsas catesbyi
Lineage: Eukaryota; Metazoa; Chordata; Lepidosauria; Squamata; Dipsadidae
Description: partial 12S ribosomal RNA
Source: RNAcentral
CGCCAAACAACUACGAGUACAAACUUAAAACUUAAAAGACUUGACGGUGCUUCACAACACCCUAGAGGAGCCUGUCUAAUAACCGAUACCCCACGAUUAACCCAACCCACCCUCGCCUACCAGUCUAUAUACCGCCGUCGCCAGCUUACCUUGUGAAAGAAAUAAAGUAAACUCAAUAGAUUCACCCUCUAACACGACAGGUCGAGGUGUAACAAAUGGGUGGGCAAAAGAUGGGCUACAUUUUCUAAAACAGAAGAUACGAAUCAACCAUGAAACUAGAAACUGAAGGCGGAUUUAGCAGUACGUUAGGAACAAAACACCCAACCGAAACUAAUGCAAUGAAGUGCGUACACACCGCCCGUCAUCCCUGUCACAACAACAAAAAAAUCAAUAAACACACCACAUUCU